AUACAGAGGGUGCGAGCGUUAAUCGGAAUUACUGGGCGUAAAGCGCGCGUAGGCGGCUUAUUAAGUCAGAUGUGAAAUCCCAGGGCUCAACCUUGGAACUGCAUCUGAUACUGGUAAGCUAGAGUUUAGGAGAGGGAAGUAGAAUUUCAGGUGUAGCGGUGAAAUGCAUAGAGAUCUGAAGGAAUACCAGUGGCGAAGGCGACUUCCUGGCCUAAAACUGACGCUGAGGUGCGAAAGCGUGGGUAGCAAACGGGAUUAGAAACCCUUGUAGUCC
Molecule: ribosomal RNA, 274 nt
Filed under: uncultured bacterium
Lineage: Bacteria
Description: partial 16S ribosomal RNA
Rfam family: Bacterial small subunit ribosomal RNA
Source: RNAcentral